UAGGGAAUCUUCCACAAUGGACGAAAGUCUGAUGGAGCAAUGCCGCGUGAGUGAAGAAGGUUUUCGGAUCGUAAAACUCUGUUGUGAGGGAAGAACAAGUACGAGAGUAACUGCUCGUACCUUGACGGUACCUCAUUAGAAAGCCACGGCUAACUACGUGCCAGCAGCCGCGGUAAUACGUAGGUGGCAAGCGUUGUCCGGAAUUAUUGGGCGUAAAGCGCGCGCAGGCGGUCCCUUAAGUCUGAUGUGAAAUCCCACGGCUCAACCGUGGAAGGUCAUUGGAAACUGGGGGACUUGAGUACAGAAGAGGAAAGCGGAAUUCCAAGUGUAGCGGUGAAAUGCGUAGAGAUUUGGAGGAACACCAGUGGCGAAAGGCGGCUUUCUGGUCUGUAACUGACGCUGAGGCGCGAAAGCGUGGGGAGCAAACAGGAUUAGAUACCCUGGUAGUCCACGCCGUAAACGAUGAGUGCUAAGUGUUAGGGGUUUCCGCCCUUAGUGCUGCAGC
Molecule: ribosomal RNA, 505 nt
Filed under: uncultured Bacillota bacterium
Lineage: Bacteria; Bacillati; Bacillota
Description: bacterial SSU rRNA
Rfam family: Bacterial small subunit ribosomal RNA
Source: RNAcentral